AAUGAACGCUGGCGGCGUGGAUUAGGCAUGCAGGUCGAACGCGAAAGUUCCCUUCGGGUGCCGGCGAGUGGCGAACGGGUGAGUAAUAUAUCGGAACGUACCUUUCAGUGGGGGAUAACGUAGCGAAAGUUACGCUAAUACCGCAUAUUCUGUGAGCAGGAAAGCAGGGAAUCGCAAGACCUUGCGCUGAUUGAGCGGCCGAUACCAGAUUAGCUAGUUGGUGAGGUAAAGGCUCACCAAGGCGACGAUCUGUAGCGGGUCUGAGAGGAUGAUCCGCCACACUGGAACUGAGACACGGUCCAGACUCCUACGGGAGGCGGCAGUGGGGAAUUUUGGACAAUGGGCGCAAGCCUGAUCCAGCCAUGCCGCGUGAGUGAAGAAGGCCUCGGUUGUAAG
This 396-nucleotide ribosomal RNA is filed under the name uncultured bacterium. Its description in RNAcentral is "bacterial SSU rRNA". It matches the Rfam family "Bacterial small subunit ribosomal RNA", at positions 29 to 429 of the family's 1533-position model. The record is from RNAcentral.